This 466-nucleotide ribosomal RNA is filed under the name uncultured bacterium. RNAcentral's name for it is "partial 16S ribosomal RNA". It matches the Rfam family "Bacterial small subunit ribosomal RNA", at positions 339 to 795 of the family's 1533-position model. The record is from RNAcentral.
CUACGGGCGGCAGCAGUGAGGGAUUUUGCGCAAUGGGGGAUAGCCCUGACGCAGCAACGCCGCGUGAGUGAAGAAGGCCUUUGGGUCGUAAAGCUCUGUCAACUGGGAAGAAGUUAUGUAUAUUAAAUAGGUAUAUGUAUUGACGGUACCAGUGGAGGAAGCAUCGGCUAACUCCGUGCCAGCAGCCGCGGUAAUACGGGGGAUGCAAGCGUUAUUCGGAAUUAUUGGGCGUAAAGGGCGCGCAGGCGGUUUUGUCGGUCAGAUGUGAAGGCCCGGGGCUCAACCCUGGAAGUGCAUUUGAAACAGCAAGACUUGAGUACGGGAGAGGAAAGCGGAAUUCCUGGUGUAGAGGUGAAAUUCGUAGAUAUCAGGAGGAAUACCGAUGGCGAAGGCAGCUUUCUGGACCGAUACUGACGCUGAGGCGCGAAGGCGUGGGUAGCGAACGGGAUUAGAUACCCGCGUAGUC